UGGAAGCAAGACCAGCUAGGGAGUUUAUUUUAUGUAAAAUAUAAACAUGUUAACAGGAGAAAAUACUGUUUUCUUAUGUUACAACCUUAAUAACCAACAUGAGAUCUAUCUUACAGUUCUGCAGGUAGUGCAGGGUGUAAUUACAAGUACAUGAUUAAAAAGAGCAGGUACUCAACUGUACACAUACACCAUGUGUUGUACGCUUUACCAGAAAUUCAGUACUUUUAUGUGUUCCCAAUUGCGUGACUAAUAAUUCUACUACUUCUUAAUCCAUUUAAAAAACUAGCACAAAAUAUUUAAGUAGUUUUAUUAUGAUUGCAUCAUUUUGACAAGGUAGAGAGGGACUCUGUAUUUACAAACAGAUAUACAUAUUCAAAGCCUCCAAAAAAACAGCCCUUUCCAUAUUUCUGCUGCUUUUCUUUCUUCUCCCCCCUACCUUACACUUAUACAGCAUAUGGUGACUUUACUCCUAAAGAUUCAUGGAUAAGUUAUUGAGCUUGUGUUAGGUCUUCUUUAACAAAAGCCACUGAAGCUUGAAAAUUGUUUCCAGGAAAAGCACUCAAACCUGUGUCAUGGCUGCCCUGAUGUUGCUCUUGCUGUUAGAAUGCGAGUUGAGAGAGGACUAGGAAACAAUUUAGUAUGUGAACAUAGUCCAACCUGGGACAUUUGCAAACAUGAACACAUUGCAAAUACAAAGCUGAUGUUUAAACUCAGCGUCUUUCAGGAAUGUAUAUCUAUUAAUGAGAUUUUGCGGAGCAAGGAGAGACAGGUUGGAAAUAUUUGUUAUCUACUAUGGCAAGUAAGAUUUAGUGAAUGGCAAGGUGUCUUCACAAAGGGUUUGCUUCUGCCACUUUGGAACCCCCAGGAGAAGGAUUGGGAUUAUCUAGAGGACAGAGCACCAACUUCAGCUGGAUGUAAGCUGAGGGUUAGGAAGCUACAUGCCAGCAGCCAGCAGCCAGACGUACCGUGCUACCACAGAAAAGUCACUUACCCUUUAAUAACCUCGUAUAUAGUGAAGUUGCCACCUGCAACACCCUUCGCCAGAAGCAUUAGGCUAUUAAAUUGACCAUUGUGAAUGGCACACAUAGGUUAAUUAUUUUAAAUUGUGCAAUAGUCCAGUUGUGAUAACCAAAUGAAGCAAAAUCAUUAAAGAAUUAUGGCAACUGUGAGACCAUGAAUAAAGGGAGUUAUAUGCAGUUUCAUACUAACGCAUUCAGGCAAAGCCAGCAAGCAAACCUCCUAGGGGGUAAAGAAUUAUUAGAGUGUAAAAAGGUGUGGGUUUAGCCCAGAUGGUCCCAUCAGGUGGGCACAUACUUCCUGAUAGGUGUUAUGUGACCUUGUGUUCAAAAGGACUGUGUUAAUCUGAGUAAGCCUUUUGGACAGGUUCAAGAAAUCUCUUUGAAGUAGUGCAUGUUAACUGGAAAGAAAUUAAAAGAGUGUCUAUUGAGGUUUCCCAAGGACUAUUGAAAUAUUAAGUGCCAUGUUAAAUUGUGAAGAAAUACCUCAGCAACAGAACUGAUGCAACAGGAAAAAGCCCUGGACUUUUAAUUGAUCAAAGAGAGUACAAUAUCUAAAUAACUAAGAAUAACCCUUCCAUUAACAACAAAGAAAGUCAGUGGCUUUCUGAUAUCGAUACCACAGAUGCUGGCCUCUGAAAACCAUCCAAUGCCUUUGCUAGAUGGUGUGGUUUUUUUUAGACCAGCACUUUUCCUACUUCAUUUUCUCUUCCCUUGAUAUUUGGAUAGAAGGAAGAUGCAAAAAGAUUGCUCUCCUUGCUAGGACUUACACAAGGGCCAAGAAUAAAUGAAGCAGUUAAGAUUAUUCACACGUGAGACUAUACAGAACGCAGCUAAAAUGGCAAACAGAACAAUAUCUGCAUGAUCAGCUGAUUGACAGCUAACUCUGUGUUUGGUAAAGGGAUUUCUCUUGUGAGAAGCGGAGUUUUUCUAAAUUAUAGUCAUUGAUAACUGUGCCACAGAUUAAAGUAAUUCUUGGACAGGUUAGCAGGUAGAGAGCAAUAAGGGCUGUGCAAUGUGCACUGUGAGUGCAAUUCAUCAGGUACAUACUGCUAUGUGUAGCGGACGCAUAGUAAAUACUGCAUCCUUGUUAUGUAUGAACAAAUUUGGGCUUCCCAAGUUUACAACCCAGCUAGGACCACAAGCCUAAAAAUGGAAAUUGGGUUGUAACUAGAGGCGUUGGAUCAUAAGCAAACAGCUGCAAAUGCAAAAAGACAAAGGCAAAACGAUAAGCUGAUUGGAAUUUCACAAGAUUGAAAUUGUUUCUUAAAGUGCUAAGGUUGAUUACAUUUUAAAAAAUCAAAGUACAUAAAAAUUAGAACAGAAAACUAAUAAUAUUAACUACAUAAGUUAUUAUACAAAUACAAUAACAGACCAACAAAAAAGAAAUAAAUUAAAACAAACACUAGCAAAGAACAGGUACACAGCCAAAACGUCUUAAAAUUUCUAGUACACAUUCAGCUGUAAGAUAGCGCUAACGCUUGCCAGCCACUGACAGCAAAAAAAGACCUGAAACAAGAAGGGUCUGCUGCUGAGAGGCAUCAAACCACUGGCAGCUGCAAGCCGUCGGCUCCGGUCCCAAGUACCUGAUGCUGUAACAGAUGGGUGAAUGAAAUGUGAUGUCUGAAGAUAAAAGACAGGUUGUGGUGACACUUUAGGACCCACCAAGUAACAUGAAUUUCAGUUUCAGCUUAGUUAGGUCUUUGAUAUCUUUAUUAAAUCUAAUACAAAGGAAACACCUACUGCUUUAUUUUCUUUACUCCAGCUGCUAAAGGAACAAUACUUUCAAGAUGUAGUCUACUUCUCUGAGGUAACUGUAAAUUAUUAAAAUAAAAUUGACAGGAAUAAUUUUGGGACUUAGUUUUUCAACAAUGUGUUCUGCUUCACUGGUAUGGCUUUUCCAUUACUCCCAUCUUCUGCCUCCCUCUGCUAUGUCCCAAAAAUAGAAAUUGCAUAAAAUCCUGACAGCCUGUUCUGUGAAACAUAAAAGUUGAGGUCUGAGCUCAUCCUCCAAGAUAACUGAUUCAUCAGCACUGCAGUGCUUCAAUUGGGUUCGGUGGAAAAACAGCAAGGACAUUUCUUUUUUCUAAGUAAGAACAUAGUAAUAAGAUUUAUAAAUGGACUACUCAUCCCAGCAACAGCACGUGAAACAAGUAGAAAACUUCAGAUGUCA
This is a long non-coding RNA of Strigops habroptila (Kakapo), 3189 nucleotides long. NCBI's taxonomy places the organism in Eukaryota, Metazoa, Chordata, Aves, Psittaciformes, Psittacidae. The record is from Ensembl.